Molecule: ribosomal RNA, 484 nt
Filed under: uncultured bacterium
Lineage: Bacteria
Description: partial 16S ribosomal RNA
Rfam family: Bacterial small subunit ribosomal RNA
Source: RNAcentral
AGUGAACGCUGGCGGCAGGCCUAACACAUGCAAGUCGAGCGGCAGCGCGGGGGCAACCCUGGCGGCGAGCGGCGGACGGGUGAGGAAUUCGUCGGAAUCUGCCUUUUUGUGGGGGAUAACGUAGGGAAACAUACGCUAAUACCGCAUACGUCCUACGGGGGAAAGUGGGGGACCGCAAGGCCUCACGCAGAAAGAUGAGCCGACGACCGAUUAGCUAGUUGGUGGGGUAAAGGCCCACCAAGGCGACGAUCGGUAGCUGGUCUGAGAGGAUGAUCAGCCACACUGGGACUGAGACACGGCCCAGACUCCUACGGGAGGCAGCAGUGGGGAAUAUUGGACAAUGGGCGCAAGCCUGAUCCAGCCAUGCCGCGUGGGUGAAGAAGGCCUUCGGGUUGUAAAGCACUUUUGUCCGGAAAGAAAACCCUUGGGCUAAUACCUUCGGGGGAUGACGGUACCGGAAGAAUAAGCACCGGCUAACUUCGUG